GGAAGCACAGUGCACCUGACCUCAUGAGAACAUGGUGUGGAGGCUGGAGGGCAGCCCAGCACCCAGAGCAGGUCCACUACCGUCUCAGGGACAUGAGGCUGAUCAUAUGACAAAAUGAGACAGGAAAGCGUUCUGUAAACUUUGGAGGACUGUACAGAGCCCCCAGGUUAACAGCUACCACCCUCAGGAAGCCGUGCCUGGUUCUUGCCAGCUGGAAGUCAUCACCCCUCUUCUGAUCGGUCCUUGCACAGCAUCUCCCUCGAGCUCCAGCAGCGGGAACCCAGCUACACCUGGUCAUCCCCUUUCUUCCUGCUUAGCACAGCCUGGCAACGAGGGCGAAGGAAGCAGGU
Molecule: long non-coding RNA, 350 nt
Filed under: Equus caballus (horse)
Lineage: Eukaryota; Metazoa; Chordata; Mammalia; Perissodactyla; Equidae
Description: lncRNA (ENSECAG00000060280.1)
Source: RNAcentral